RNAcentral lists this ribosomal RNA (441 nucleotides) under Winogradskyella ouciana. Its description in RNAcentral is "Winogradskyella sp. ZXX205 partial 23S ribosomal RNA". It matches the Rfam family "Bacterial large subunit ribosomal RNA", at positions 1383 to 1726 of the family's 2925-position model. Lineage: Bacteria; Pseudomonadati; Bacteroidota; Flavobacteriia; Flavobacteriales; Flavobacteriaceae. The record is from RNAcentral.
GUCGGGACCUAAGGCGAGGCCGACAGGCGUAGUCGAUGGACAACCGGUUGAUAUUCCGGUACCCGCUUUGAAGCGCCAAACAUCGAAUCCUCUGAUGCUAAGGCCGUGAAGCCGCCCUGGAGUCUUCGGACAAAGGGGAGUGGUGGAGCCGCUGAUCCAAGGUGGUAGUAGGUGAGUGAUGGGGUGACGCAGGAAGGUAGUCCAGCCCGGGCGGUGGUUGUCCCGGGGUAAGGGUGUAGGACGCACGGUAGGCAAAUCCGUCGUGCAUGAAGUCUGAGACCUGAUGCCGAGCCGAUUGUGGUGAAGUGGAUGAUCCUAUGCUGUCGAGAAAAGCCUCUAGCGAGUUUCAUGGCGGCCCGUACCCUAAACCGACUCAGGUGGUCAGGUAGAGAAUACCGAGGCGUUCGGGUGAACUAUGGUUAAGGAACUCAGCAAAAUGCC